RNAcentral lists this transfer RNA (66 nucleotides) under Priapella compressa (Palenque priapella). Its description in RNAcentral is "tRNA-Tyr". The record is from RNAcentral. Lineage: Eukaryota; Metazoa; Chordata; Actinopteri; Cyprinodontiformes; Poeciliidae.
UAAGAUGGCUGAGUGUUAAGCGGAGGAUUGUAGACCCAUGAACGGAGGUUUAAGGCCUUCUCUUGC